GAGUUUUGAUCAUGGCUCAGGAUGAACGCUAGCUACAGGCUUAACACAUGCAAGUCGAGGGGCAGCAUGGUCUUAGCUUGCUAAGGCUGAUGGCGACCGGCGCACGGGUGAGUAACCACGUAUCCAACCUGCCGUCUACUCUUUGGCCAGCCUUCUGAAAGGAAGAUUAAUCCAGGAUGGGAUCAUGAGUUCACAUGUCCGCAUGAUUAAAGGUAUUUUCCGGUAGACGAUGGGGAUGGCGUUCCAUUAGAUAGUAGGCGGGGUAACGGCCCACCUAGUCAACGAUGGAUAGGGGUUCUGAGAGGAAGGUCCCCCACAUUGGAACUGAGACACGGUCCAAACUCCUACGGGAGGCAGCA
This 359-nucleotide ribosomal RNA is filed under the name uncultured bacterium. Its description in RNAcentral is "bacterial SSU rRNA". It matches the Rfam family "Bacterial small subunit ribosomal RNA", at positions 9 to 353 of the family's 1533-position model. The record is from RNAcentral.